This 108-nucleotide small nuclear RNA is filed under the name Propithecus coquereli (Coquerel's sifaka). The record is from RNAcentral. Lineage: Eukaryota; Metazoa; Chordata; Mammalia; Primates; Indriidae.
GUGCUCGCCUCGGCAGCACAUAUACUAAAGAUUGGAAUGAUACAGGGAAGUAUUACAUGGCCCCUGCGCAACGAUGACACGCAAAUUCGUAAAGAAAAAGAAAAAAAA